Molecule: long non-coding RNA, 2759 nt
Organism: Apis cerana (Asiatic honeybee)
Lineage: Eukaryota; Metazoa; Arthropoda; Insecta; Hymenoptera; Apidae
Source: RefSeq, a predicted model, not a curated record
GAAAGUUUAGGGAAUAAGGGUCGUGAACAAGAAGGGAAAGAAGUGAGAACGUGCGAUUGAUAGUGAUUGUACCUACUAGGGUGAAUGAAAGUUAUUCGUGGAGCAUGGUGACUGGAAUAGUUACGAGACCUUCGAGCACAAGGAUUUUGUAAUGGAGCGGUGAAACGUUCUUAGUAGAGUUUGAGGAAUGCUGAGUUGAGGAAAGGAGUAGCGCGUUUAAAAACCUUCGAGUUAGAAACAAAGGAGAAGGAAGAAACAAUUCCGUCAAAAAAAUGGAAGAAAGAUUAGCUUCCUUUGCACAAAUCGAGCGGCAGAAGUGCCGGCUGAUCGACUCAGCAAUCUCUCUGUUUGCGCGGUGUACACAAAAUCAUGACUGUAAUUUACGAAUAACGAAGAGGAUACACCAUAAAUCAUACUCGUGCCCGUUGCGCUGUGAAAAAAUUUCUUUUCGGAAUUUCCCUUUACGUAACGUGUUAAGAAAGAUACAAGUUGCUCAGAAUUAUCAUAGAUCAUUUCCUUUCUUAAGCGUGAUAUUUAGAAAAAAAAUUAGAAAAAAGUAAUGAUACAGAUCAUCUUAAAUUAAACUUUAAAUUUUUCAUCUCAUUGUUCGCACUAUUUAAGAUCAAAUUUCCAAUGUUCUGUUACUCUGGCGACAAAGAUGUGGAAUAAAAAAAGAAGACAGAGACAGAGACAGAGACAGAGACAGAGACAGAGACAGAGACAGAGACAGAGAGAGAGAGAGAGAGAGAGAGAGAGAGAGAGAGAGAGAGAGAGAGAGAGAGAGAGAGAGAGAUUUAGAGCCCGUAUCGAAAUGAUUGGUAAGAGGAGAAGAUUUCGUGGACGACGAAAAUGACAUGUGCCAGUUGCUCGUCUGUGGGUCAAGAUCACGUCUGUUGGCGCAUAUUUCGUCGCUCGAGACCUUGCUUUUCCGAGCCUCUCUUCUUCCUCUCUUUGCCUCCUCCCUUCUUCCCUGUAUUUCCUCGAAUUGCACGCAUCAAUAGACAGAAGUCAAAUAAAAGUUUUGAAAAGUUUCGAUGCAUUUUCCAAUAUGCCCGGCCAAAACUGUUUAAAACCCCGAAAAUCCACUGUGUCCCAUUGCCGUUCUGGAUCGAUCUCGACUUUCAGGAGAACGAUAAACGAAGUAAAUCGAUAGUGGGAAAGUUUCAUUUGCGAGUUUCAUUCGAGAGAGCAGGGUAUUUUACAUUAAUAAAAAAAAGAAAAAAAAUUAGAUAGAACAUUGUGAGCAAAUUGGUGUCUCGAAUUUAAAUAAUGCGAACUUGAAUAAUAAUAAUAAUAAUAAUAAUAAUAUCAGAUCGAGGGGAUAAUAACGGAUCCCUUUGUGAAAAUGGAAAUUUUUUAGAAAUAUUCCCAGCAAGAAAAACGUGUUGUUGUUGAUAACGAUCGAAUAUUCACACGCUGUAUGAAUUGUUCACCUGUCUGUGUGUUUCGCGAGUGAAAGUCCCCAUUAAUGUCCAACCGAGCACAUUAGAGGAUAUUUAAAGAAUUUUUACUUUAUUUUACGAGAAUUUCAAUUUAGAAACCAAGAAAAGAGAAAGCAAGAUUAAUCGAAUAACGUUUUCAAUCCUCUCUCGUUCGGCUCGUGCACAUGGCUGAUCCGAAGGAGCCGUGACACCAUUGCAAAUGAGUAAUUUAGUUUUUUUUCCUGGACGAGAGAAAAAGAAAAAAAAAACUCCGACUAUAUUUGAAUAAAUACAACGAAUACAUUAAUCUAAGAAAGAUCGAGCUCGUUCGAGAUCGAGUAACACGUGCGUACAAAUAGGGAGGGGGGGAAUAAGAGAGAAAUCUAAUAAAAAAAAAUCCAAUUGUCGAUUUUUCUACGCGAAUCCCGUACAGAAAACGAGGAUAAAUAAUUUUUUGGAAAUUUUUCGAACGGGAAAAAUAACGUUUCACUUUUAAAUUUUUAGAGAAAAUUUUUUACAUUUCUAGAUUAGAUUAUCGAUAAUUUAUUGCUAGAACCAAAGAUGCACAUAGAUGUAAGAUUUAAAAAAAAAUCAUAAAUUUCUCUAGCUCCAUCCUGCACCAAAUCUAAAUAUACAUAUCUCUCUCUAUAUAUAAUAUUAACACUUAUAUUCUUGACGGAUCCAAACAUUUAUAAUACAGAGAAACACGACCUUAAUUCGUUGAAUGGUUGCACAACGCGAACGGCAUGUGGAUCCAGCACGUGGCGAACGAAGAGGUUCCCAGAAGAGGUUACAUAGACAGUACGGGUAGAUCUUUCAAACAAGACAAAUCGAAAUAAUAGAAGCUAAUUAACUUACAACUAUCUGUAUUCGCAUGGAAUAUAUUGGUGUUAACAACCAAUUCAAGUGUGUUUACUGUGUUGUUGAAGCAUCGUCUAACGAUAUUCUUAGACCAGACACCCGAAACACAUUUAUUUUCAAUUAGCGUGGGCCUCGUGUAUCGCGGUCAUGUCUUUGCCAGCACACGAAACGAAGAAGGAGAGGAAGGAGACUCGAUAACGAGCCUCAUAAAAGUGAGCCGAAUUUACGAGUGCAACAUAGUCACGUUCUUCACGUUGGGAUGAACUUUCAGUUUAUGCUACGUUGCGUGUGCGUCACAUUUUUACCUAUUUUCUGUGCUACUCAAUAGGGAGCGCAUCGAAUAACAAAAAACUUCAUUGUUCUCCAAGUUUUAUCAGAAAGAAUUGUAAAGAACAAUGAUACACACGUGACGACAAUAGAAAAAUUUUUGAAACGUUUAACCUCCAAGGGAAUGUUUAUUGACACGCAAAGAUGCAA